Molecule: long non-coding RNA, 1358 nt
Filed under: Mytilus galloprovincialis (Mediterranean mussel)
Lineage: Eukaryota; Metazoa; Mollusca; Bivalvia; Mytilida; Mytilidae
Source: RNAcentral
AUGAAACUUACAAAGUCAAUGCAAAACAUGAAAAUUUCAAAAUGAUUUUUUGGUGUUUUUUUUCAAUGGAAUGUUUUUGGUAUUUGGUCAAAACAUAUAACUAUGUUAACCUCUUCAAUUUCUUAAACAUUUUAAGUGGUAAGCUGUUGUUGAUUCAGAAAUACAUGCCGCCGCUCGCAAAAUUUCAAACUGCAUUAUCUCUUAAACGACAAUAGAUAUCUCAAAUCUGUUAAAUGGUAAAUGAUCUACAGUUAAAGGACAACAUUAUAGAAAAAGAAUUGGGACAAUUUCAAAGUUCACCAAGGUCACAAUUAAUCAUCAAAUAUAUGAUGCAAUACCAAACUUGAGAACCGGAAGUCGUAGAGACAUGGGACUAUCACCAUUCAACUCAGGACCACUUGACCUUUCAAAUAUCACAAGGUCAAGGUCAUAGUAUAAUGUGAAGGUCAAGGUGAAAUUUCAUCAUGACCUGACAUUGACCUCAAAUUGAAGGUCUUGAAUUACUGAUCAUCUUUGCAGUUUAUAGUAGGUUGAUAUCUGUUACCUUUAAAAAGAUAUAUACACAAAAUACUAUACUUUUAAGAAUCAUCCCGUUGUAACUUUUGAACAGACGGUCGGACAUUUUUGGGCUUAUUAUAUAAAAUGUAGAGCUCGUCGAGAGGAACAUUUUAUACGCUGUAUGUAUGCAGCAAAGUCUUAUCGUUUUCCUAAUAUGUAAGCUUGAAAUUGCAGCGUAAUUUUUUUUUGCACUCAGUGACCUUUGACCUUGACUGCAUAUUAAAGGUCACAUGAAUUAAAGAUUAUUGGUGAAGGUCCCAAGUCUCUACGACUUCUGGUUCUCGAAAUACAAUUUUUCUAAAAUUAUGUUACAAUUUUUCAAGGGGAAUAACUCCUUAUAAGGGUUAAUAACAAAAUGAUUGUACAUGUUCAUUAACAUUGCCAUCUGUUCCUGUACAUGUUGCCGUUUUCAAAUCGAUUCUAUCUCUUAUACUUUUUGAGAAAAAAUGCAAAGGAAAGAAAUUGUUUCAAGGGGAUAUAACUCUCAUAGGGGACGAUGAAAUCCUAUUCAGCCUCACAUGGUAAUACAUCAUGAUGAGAUCUACAUUAUGUCCAAUUAAGGUCAUGAUAUCUUUAAAACCAACGAGGGGGGCCAUGUUGAAAAAAAUCAAUAAAAGGGAGAUAACUCCUAAAGGGGAUGAUGAAAUCCUUAACAGGGUCAUUUGGUAAUACAUCUUGGUGAGGUCUAGCGAUGGUCCAUAUUUGGUCUUAAUAACUUCAACAGAAACAAGAGGCGGGCAUGUCAAAAAAAUGUUGGAAGAAAAAAAAGAAAAAGAAAAAACGGAAGAAAAACAAUAAGG